GACGAACGCUGGCGGCGUGCCUAAUACAUGCAAGUCGAACGGAGAUAUUCGCUGAUGAAGUACUUCGGUAAUGAAUCUUGGAUAUCUUAGUGGCGGACGGGUGAGUAACGCGUGAGCAACCUGCCUUUCAGAGGGGGAUAACGUUUGGAAACGAACGCUAAUACCGCAUGACAUUAUCUUAUCGCAUGGUAGGAUAAUCAAAGGAGCAAUCCGCUGAAAGAUGGGCUCGCGUCCGAUUAGGUAGUUGGUGGGGUAACGGCCCACCAAGCCGACGAUCGGUAGCCGGACUGAGAGGUUGGACGGCCACAUUGGGACUGAGACACGGCCCAG
Molecule: ribosomal RNA, 330 nt
Filed under: uncultured bacterium
Lineage: Bacteria
Description: bacterial SSU rRNA
Rfam family: Bacterial small subunit ribosomal RNA
Source: RNAcentral